RNAcentral lists this ribosomal RNA (460 nucleotides) under uncultured bacterium. RNAcentral's name for it is "partial 16S ribosomal RNA". It matches the Rfam family "Bacterial small subunit ribosomal RNA", at positions 338 to 795 of the family's 1533-position model. The record is from RNAcentral.
CCUACGGGUGGCAGCAGUGAGGAAUAUUGGUCAAUGGACGAGAGUCUGAACCAGCCAAGUAGCGUGAAGGAUGACUGCCCUAUGGGUUGUAAACUUCUUUUAUAAAGGAAUAAAACGCGGCACGUGUGCCUUUUUGCAUGUACUUUAUGAAUAAGGAUCGGCUAACUCCGUGCCAGCAGCCGCGGUAAUACGGAGGAUCCGGGCGUUAUCCGGAUUUAUUUGGUUUAAAGGGAGCGUAGAUGGGUUGGUAAGUCAGUUGUGAAAGUUUGCGGCUCAACCGUAAAAUUGCAAUUGAUACUGGCAGUCUUGAGUACAGUUGAGGUAGGCGGAAUUCGUGGUGUAGCGGUGAAAUGCUUAGAUAUCACGAAGAACCCCGAUGGCGAAGGCAGCUUACUAAACUGUGACUGACAUUGAUGCUCGAAAGUGUGGGUAUCAAACAGGAUUAGAUACCCGAGUAGUC